GUCUUAUUUAAAAUUUUUAUAGAAUUUUAUUUUUUAGUUAAAAAGCUAAAAUUUAUUCAAAAGACGAGAAGACCCUAUAAAUCUUAAUUAUUUAAUAAGUUUUAAUUUAUAUAGAAUGAUUUUAUUAUUAUUGUUUUAAAUAAUUUUAUUGGGGUGAUAUUAAAAUUUAAUUAACUUUUAAUAAUUUAUAAAUCAUUUAUUUAUGAUUAAUUGAUCCAUUUUUAGUGAUUAUAAAAUUAAGUUACUUUAGGGAUAACAGCGUAAUUUUUUUGGAGAGUUCUUAUCGAUAAAAAAGUUUGCGACCUCGAUGUUGGAUUAAGAUUCAUAUUUAAAUGUAGAAGUUUAAAUAUUAAGUCUGUUCGACUUUUAUAUCUUACAUGAUCUGAGUUCAAACCGGUGUAAGCCAGGUUGGUUUCUAUCUUUGAUUUGUUAAAAUAUUUUAGUACGAAAGGAAUAAAUAUUUAUUUUUAAAAAAUUUAUUUAUGAAU
RNAcentral lists this ribosomal RNA (488 nucleotides) under Teleopsis sp. n. 'gracilifemur'. RNAcentral's name for it is "partial 16S ribosomal RNA". The stretch from base 252 to 410 matches the Rfam family "Bacterial large subunit ribosomal RNA", at positions 2473 to 2632 of the family's 2925-position model. Lineage: Eukaryota; Metazoa; Arthropoda; Insecta; Diptera; Diopsidae. The record is from RNAcentral.